GACGUAGGGCGCGAGCGUUGUCCGGAUUUAUUGGGCGUAAAGAGCUCGUAGGCGGCUUGUCGCGUCGAAUGUGAAAUCUCAGGGCUCAACUCUGACAUUGCAUUCGAUACGGGCAGGCUCGAGUUCGGUAGGGGAGACUGGAAUUCCUGGUGUAGCGGUGAAAUGCGCAGAUAUCAGGAGGAACACCGGUGGCGAAGGCGGGUCUCUGGGCCGAUACUGACGCUGAGGAGCGAAAAGCGUGGGGGAGCGAACGG
RNAcentral lists this ribosomal RNA (254 nucleotides) under uncultured bacterium. RNAcentral's name for it is "partial 16S ribosomal RNA". It matches the Rfam family "Bacterial small subunit ribosomal RNA", at positions 524 to 775 of the family's 1533-position model. The record is from RNAcentral.